This 262-nucleotide ribosomal RNA is filed under the name uncultured archaeon. RNAcentral's name for it is "partial 16S ribosomal RNA". It matches the Rfam family "Archaeal small subunit ribosomal RNA", at positions 748 to 1008 of the family's 1478-position model. The record is from RNAcentral.
AGGGUGUAAACGCUGCAGACUUGGUGUUGGAAGUCCUUUGGGGGCAUUCAGUGCCGGAGAGAAGUUGUUAAGUCUGCUACUUGGGGAGUACGUCCGCAAGGAUGAAACUUAAAGGAAUUGGCGGGGGGAGCACCGCAACGGGAGGAGCGUGCGGUUUAAUUGGAUUCAACGCCGAAAAACUCACCAGCAGCGACUGUUACAUGAAAGUCAGGUUGAUGACCUUACUAGAUUUUCAGAGAGGUGGUGCAUGGCGUCAGUGACU